Mesitornis unicolor (brown roatelo) is the source of this 695-nucleotide RNA transcript. RefSeq lists it as uncharacterized. The transcript has a single exon. Lineage: Eukaryota; Metazoa; Chordata; Aves; Mesitornithiformes; Mesitornithidae. The record is from RefSeq and is a predicted model, not a curated record.
UGUUUUCCUUUCUCCGCAGAUGUCAUCUGGGUGAUCCUCAGCGUGGAAGUUGGAGGACUUCUAGGUGUAACACAGCAGCUGUCGUCCUUUGAAACAGAGUUCAACACGCAACCGCACCGCAAGGUAGAAGGAAACUUUAACCCAUUCGCCUCUCCACAGAAGAACAGGCAACCAGAUGAAAACAACCUAAAAGACCCUGGGGGUUCCGAGCUAGGCACAAUCAGCAAAAACACAUGGGGGCCUGCUCCUGACCAAAUCGAACAAGAUCAGAAUGGACUGUCACAAAACUCUGUAAAUCUCUCCCCCAGCAGUCACUCGAACAACUUGUCGGUAGUGACGUACAGUAAGGUAGGUGCCCUGGGAGAACAGGAGAACGGGUAGGUGCUGAGACCGGGAGGUGUGUCAUAGUUCUUCGUUCCAAACUGCAAAGCCCUUCCCUUCUGCUUCUGCCAGACCUGCUAAGGAAGGUUUUCAAUUUGACUGUCUGACUCUGCCAACUCCUCAUGUUAUAUUAAAACACGUUUGCCUCUGAUAGACUCUACCAGAUCCACCUUUUCGUUUUUGCUUCAAGUCCUUCUUAAAAUUUAUAUAAUCUUGUCUGGGUGCUGUAACUAUCAGUGGCUGGAGCCUGCUCCGGUUGCGUGUGCAAAUAAGUCAAAAUAUCUCUCUAGAUCGAACAGAAUUUUGAAAAGAGG